GUAGGUGGCAAGCGUUGUCCGGAAUUAUUGGGCGUAAAGCGCGCGCAGGCGGUCCUUUAAGUCUGAUGUGAAAGCCCACGGCUCAACCGUGGAGGGUCAUUGGAAACUGGGGGACUUGAGUACAGAAGAGGAAAGCGGAAUUCCAAGCGUAGCGGUGAGAUGCGUAGAGAUUUGGAGGAACACCAGUGGCGAAGGCGGCUUUCUGGUCUGUAACUGACGCUGAGGCGCGAAAGCGUGGGGAGCAAACAGGGAUUAGAUACCCUGGUAGUCCACGCCGUAAACGAUGAGUGCUAAGUGUUAGGGGGUUUCCCGCCCCUUAGUGCUGCAGCUAACGCAUUAAGCACUCCGCCUGGGGAGUACGGCCGCAAGGCUG
Molecule: ribosomal RNA, 373 nt
Filed under: uncultured organism
Description: partial 16S ribosomal RNA
Rfam family: Bacterial small subunit ribosomal RNA
Source: RNAcentral